Molecule: ribosomal RNA, 465 nt
Filed under: uncultured Klebsiella sp.
Lineage: Bacteria; Pseudomonadati; Pseudomonadota; Gammaproteobacteria; Enterobacterales; Enterobacteriaceae
Description: bacterial SSU rRNA
Rfam family: Bacterial small subunit ribosomal RNA
Source: RNAcentral
CCUACGGGAGGCUGCAGUGGGGAAUAUUGCACAAUGGGCGCAAGCCUGAUGCAGCCAUGCCGCGUGUGUGAAGAAGGCCUUCGGGUUGUAAAGCACUUUCAGCGGGGAGGAAGGCGGUGAGGUUAAUAACCUCAUCGAUUGACGUUACCCGCAGAAGAAGCACCGGCUAACUCCGUGCCAGCAGCCGCGGUAAUACGGAGGGUGCAAGCGUUAAUCGGAAUUACUGGGCGUAAAGCGCACGCAGGCGGUCUGUCAAGUCGGAUGUGAAAUCCCCGGGCUCAACCUGGGAACUGCAUUCGAAACUGGCAGGCUAGAGUCUUGUAGAGGGGGGUAGAAUUCCAGGUGUAGCGGUGAAAUGCGUAGAGAUCUGGAGGAAUACCGGUGGUGAAGGCGGCCCCCUGGACAAAGACUGACGCUCAGGUGCGAAAGCGUGGGGAGCAAACAGGAUUAGAUACCCCUGUAGUC